This 222-nucleotide ribosomal RNA is filed under the name Paenibacillus sp. OT2-17. RNAcentral describes it as "partial 16S ribosomal RNA". It matches the Rfam family "Bacterial small subunit ribosomal RNA", at positions 1 to 215 of the family's 1533-position model. The record is from RNAcentral. Lineage: Bacteria; Bacillati; Bacillota; Bacilli; Caryophanales; Paenibacillaceae.
AUGGAGAGUUUGAUCCUGGCUCAGGACGAACGCUGGCGGCGUGCCUAAUACAUGCAAGUCGAGCGGGGUUGUUUAGAAGCUUGCUUCUAAACAAUCUAGCGGCGGACGGGUGAGUAACACGUAGGCAACCUGCCCACAAGACAGGGAUAACUACCGGAAACGGUAGCUAAUACCCGAUACAUCCUUUUCCUGCAUGGGAGAAGGAGGAAAGACGGAGCAAUC